RNAcentral lists this small nuclear RNA (136 nucleotides) under Heterocephalus glaber (naked mole-rat). RNAcentral describes it as "U2 spliceosomal RNA". It matches the Rfam family "U2 spliceosomal RNA". From Rfam's summary of the family: U2 is a small nuclear RNA (snRNA) component of the spliceosome (involved in pre-mRNA splicing). Complementary binding between U2 snRNA (in an area lying towards the 5' end but 3' to hairpin I) and the branchpoint sequence (BPS) of the intron results the bulging out of an unpaired adenosine, on the BPS, which initiates a nucleophilic attack at the intronic 5' splice site, thus starting the first of two transesterification reactions that mediate splicing. Lineage: Eukaryota; Metazoa; Chordata; Mammalia; Rodentia; Bathyergidae. The record is from Rfam by way of RNAcentral.
AUCGCUUCUCGGCCUUUUGGCUAAGAUCAAGUGUAGAUUCUAUGUAUAUUAUUUUCUGUAGGUGAAGAGGUACAGGUGUCUGUCAUGUGUGCCAUGAGUGAAGUGUAUGCUGUAGGCAUAAAGCUUUGCAAAAAUA